UACGUAGGUGGCGAGCGUUGUCCGGAUUUAUUGGGUUUAAAGGGUGCGUAGGCGGCCAGAUAAGUCAGUGCUGAAAUAUCCCGGCUUAACCGGGAGGGUGGCAUUGAUACUGUAUGGCUUGAGUAAAGUUGAGGUUGGCGGAAUUGACGGUGUAGCGGUGAAAUGCUUAGAUAUCGCCAAGAACACCUAUAGUGAAGACAGCUAACUAAGCUUUAACUGACGCUGAGGCACGAAAGUGUCGGGAUCAAACAGG
RNAcentral lists this ribosomal RNA (253 nucleotides) under uncultured bacterium. Its description in RNAcentral is "partial 16S ribosomal RNA". It matches the Rfam family "Bacterial small subunit ribosomal RNA", at positions 524 to 776 of the family's 1533-position model. The record is from RNAcentral.